RNAcentral lists this long non-coding RNA (1672 nucleotides) under Marmota monax (woodchuck). Lineage: Eukaryota; Metazoa; Chordata; Mammalia; Rodentia; Sciuridae. The record is from RNAcentral.
GUUUUAUCCCAGAGACUCUGGAGUGGGAUCUUGCAAUCUAUAUUCUAACUGGCUUGAACUUCUUGCAUGAACUAAGAAAGGUUACCUUCAGAAGCUCCAAAUUUUAAGGCAUCCCACUGCCAUCAAAUCCAAAAGCAACUAAAGCAUUGUUAUAUGAUUUUGAAUUAUAACCUAUUUGUUAAAAUAGCUCCCAUUUCCCCUAAGGACAACCUGCAUUUCCACCUCAGUUUAGUGCAUUGUCUCAUUUUUGGGUCUCAACAGGGUUGGGAACUCAAACGAAUGAAUAUAGUUCUCAGAUGUAGUGAAUGAUAAUGUGGUGGUGGAAGAAGAGAGGGUACCAAUUUUAGUGACCUUCAGUAGAGCAGUGGAAAGAAAUCGGUGUAAAGCCCAGGACUAACGGAAAAGUGAAAUCAGUGAUGACUGCUUUAUCUUGAACCCUCUUAUGAUUUUAUCUACCUUGAAUAUGCUGAUAUAUUAUAUGAUACCCAAGUUACACUACAACUUACAAUGGGACUAAUUUCCACUUCCCCCUAAGAUCCACAUUUCACCCCCACUCACUAAAGGUAAACACUGAAGCCAAAUGGUCCUUGAUUUGGGAUCCUUGAGUUUGUUUGCUCUGCCAUCACCAUCUGACCCCGCUGCCCAGUAGCACCAUUCCAGAGGGAAGUUGCCUCUAAGGACUGACUAGUAAAUCUCUCAAAAUUAUUUGCAGAAAGGCCUAAGAACACCAAUCAGCAACAAACCCCCCCACACACUUUAAAACACCAUUCACAGCUGCAUGUUUCCUUCAUUUUCCCAUCUCAAGUACAGCCAAGGCAUCUUGCAGGUUAGCAGACGCUACUCAUUUAAGAAAGUAUGAAGCAAAAUGUUACCCUCCUCAUUUUCAGUGCAAAACAAAAUGAAGUGGAACCAUUUGCCUGUGGUGAGUGAGGCAAGGGUAGAGGGCUGGAAUGCAGGACUUGAUUCCUUAUUCCCUACUUCUAACCACAUCCUCUCCACUCUGGGAUAUGUAAGUUGGUUAUUACACUGGGGACAGGAAUGAGGAAGGGGAUGGUUUCCUUUUAUGCUUCUAUUUGGAAACUUACAUCUAAACUCUAAACCAAGUAUAAAACACUCCAUUUCAACUUUAGUGAGAGCAGACGAUGACUCCCAUGUAGUAUGUAUCAGAGCUUUGGGUACCAUGACUUUCUGGGUCUUAAGUAAUGGAUUGGCUAUAUAUUGAUAGAGAGUGUUCUGAGUAGAGACAAGAAUAAAGCAAAAGAGAGGAAGUUAAUGCCUAAUUCAAACAUUUUAAAAGCCUAAUUAGCCAUUGAUCAUUUACCCAGUCUCUAUUUAUGAAUUUUCAGAUUAAAUUGUUUUUAUUUAUUUUGGGGGUGCUGGGGGUUGAACCCAGGGUCUGGCAUGUGCUAAGCAAACACUUUACUACCAAUCUACUUGAUAGCUCAUAUAAGUUCGCAUGUGAAAGACAAUAAGAAAUUUAGCUUUUUAUUUGUCUUACAUUUUUUAUACUAGAGUAUGAAGUCUUUGCUUUGUGCAAUGAUGGCCUUGUUCUUAUGGUUUUGUUUGUAUGUUUUCUUUUUUAUCUACUAAAAGAUAUACCUUAUUUUUUGUACAGUUGUUUCCCCUGCUGUAUUAUUUAAUAAAAUUUAUUCUUAAUCAAUACACAAAAACA